GACUGAUCCAAAGGUAGGGAGUUAUCUCAUUUGAUUGCUCACAGUAAGUUAUAGAUUGAACUCAUUGUUCUACUCCUUUCUCUCCUCACUACUGUACUUGACUAAUCUAAA
Molecule: Y RNA, 111 nt
Filed under: Microcebus murinus (gray mouse lemur)
Lineage: Eukaryota; Metazoa; Chordata; Mammalia; Primates; Cheirogaleidae
Description: Y RNA (ENSMICG00000037384.2)
Rfam family: Y RNA
About the family: Y RNAs are components of the Ro ribonucleoprotein particle (Ro RNP), in association with Ro60 and La proteins. The Y RNAs and Ro60 and La proteins are well conserved, but the function of the Ro RNP is not known. In humans the RNA component can be one of four small RNAs -- hY1, hY3, hY4 and hY5.
Source: Rfam by way of RNAcentral